Long non-coding RNA from Manis javanica (Malayan pangolin), 2081 nucleotides. RefSeq lists it as uncharacterized. The record is from RefSeq and is a predicted model, not a curated record. Lineage: Eukaryota; Metazoa; Chordata; Mammalia; Pholidota; Manidae.
GAAAGAAAAGAGGGAGAAAGUGGCCUAGCGCCCCCCACUCUACCGUUUCCUGCAUAGGCUCAAGACUGCUCUGUGGGCCAGGUUGUGCUGGGUUUGAGGGCUGGAAGUAGGAUGACAUGAGCUGAUAUAGGAGAGAAAUAUAGGGCCCAUUCCAUCCCAAGAUGCUGUGUUUAGUUGGGAAGACCCAGGCCAUAUUAAACAGAGCCGCCAAGAGGACCUCCAGUAUAGUCGUGUGUAAGAGGAGCAAUAGAGGGCAUCCAAGUCUUUUUCUUGACAUCAGAGAAAAUUCUGCUGUACUUCAAACAUUAACACAAUAUCAAAUAAAGGCAUUGAGAAAGACCACCCCUGAUUUGAUUCUGACUUUAAGAAGACUGCUUCUUCUUUCCUGCCCAGCCAAUUGAGGUUUUGCUCCAGCCGAGGCUGAUAGGAGGAAGCAAGCCACAGAGUUUAUUUUCCAUCACACACCAUUGUGCUGCUGAGCAAAUAUUUUAGCAAGCUUUGAAUGAACCACCUUUUCAAGCUCUAGGUUUUCAGAGUUAAAUAGGAAGCCAUGACCAACCUAAUAAUAAUCCAUUUUGAAUCAGCUUCAGGCCACCCUACUGAAGCACUUUUGUGGGUCUCCUGGAAAACCAGGUUUGGGGCAUGAACAUUGCAGGAUCCUCUUCCCUUCAUCUUCAUCCCAUUGCCUUGAGGGGAGUGAGGACUCUUGAUGCUCCUCACUGCAGUGUCUGGGUCUUUUGAGGAAGAGAAAAAUUAGCCCUUGGGUGCCCAGCCAACACAGGUCCCAAAAAAUACCCGGAGUCCAGCCUUUUGAAUCAGCUCAUCCCAUCACUGGCCACAUGAGGCACAGCCGGCAGCUCCUACAUCCACCCACCAUCACAGGGCCACCCAGUCUGAACAAAGAACAUCUUAAGCUCUCAGCAAACGGAUCCCUCUUUUUCCAAAGACAAGUAAGACUCUUGAUCCCAAAGAGAAUGGAAAUCUAGGAGACUGAAAUGAAAAAAUUCCCCAAAGCAAACUUCAAAAUGUUACAUUAAGAUUUUUAAACUUUUUAAUAAUGUUUUACCUUAGCUCUAUUCCAUCUAUCUAGCAAUUAAUCCAUCAGCCUUCACAUAAUACACACCUACAGGAAACGCGCUUCACGUGCCUCUGGGCUGGAUUCCACUGUGGCUUACUAAUGUGUUAACACUCUGGAAUUCCCUUGACUUUCAGCAUCCCUUCUUCCCAGCCCAGCCCUCCCAAGUAAGUUCGUAGGUAGGUGUCAGGGCUCCGUGACUCUGCUGGGAUUUGGCCCGAGCCCCAGAGAACCAACCGCGGUCUAACUCACAAUGGCACCACCUCAGCUGGAUGUAAAAGCUCAACGUUCCCACUCCAACCUCACAUCAACUCCCCAGACCUGAGUGUUGUACCCUCAGGAGGAUUAACUGGAAAGCAGGUGUCAACAAAAAACUUUUCUGCCACAGUUUGUCACAUGAAUACUGCUUCAGAGUCAUUUUAAUCUGUGCAAUGACAUAAAUUGGGACCUAGCUGCCACUUGGAGAAAUCCACCUGCAAUUGUCAUUUCACCAAUAUUUUACAGAAGGCACUCAUAUCUUCUGGUUGGAGGAGGGACCAAGGAAAAAGGCUGGGUGGGGGGGUGGGUGGAGGAUCACAACUGCUUAACAGAAAAAUUAUACAUAUUCUAAACAUAUGGGUGAUCUUUAGAAAAUCUCAGCAUCACUUCAUAAUUAUAUACUACAAGUUUUAAUUAACUAAAGCUCUGCAAAUCAUAAUGCCUUAUUAAAAUGCAAUUAAUCCUUUGAUUAAAAAACAAAAAGCACAAGUAUUUACAACAAAAACACAAGUAGAAUAAUUACAAAUAUCAUGUACCCAUUUCUUUUAUUUGGGUGUCACUUAUGAUGUUGCCCGCUCCCUUCAUUAAUUCGAACACACACAUUAUCUCGCAUCCACAGCAGCUUGAGUGACAGUGGUCACCAAACACACAGCACUAUAUCCUAUUGAUUUCGGCAAAUCCUGAACAAUGCCAUUUGCAUGCUUGUUUCUGUAAUAAUAAAGAUAUGCCAUUCAGAAUUAAAGCCUGG